UACGUAGGGGGCGAGCGUUGUCCGGAAUGAUUGGGCGUAAAGGGCGCGUAGGCGGCCUGAUAAGUCUGGAGUGAAAGUCCUGCUUUCAAGGUGGGAAUUGCUUUGGAUACUGUUAGGCUUGAGUACAGGAGAGGAAAGCGGAAUUCCCGGUGUAGCGGUGAAAUGCGUAGAGACCAGUAGGAACACCAGUGGCGAAGGCGGCUUUCUGGACUGAAACUGACGCUGAGGCGCGAAAGCGUGGGGAGCAAACAGG
Molecule: ribosomal RNA, 253 nt
Filed under: uncultured bacterium
Lineage: Bacteria
Description: partial 16S ribosomal RNA
Rfam family: Bacterial small subunit ribosomal RNA
Source: RNAcentral